This 1017-nucleotide ribosomal RNA is filed under the name uncultured bacterium. RNAcentral's name for it is "bacterial SSU rRNA". It matches the Rfam family "Bacterial small subunit ribosomal RNA", at positions 355 to 1375 of the family's 1533-position model. The record is from RNAcentral.
UGAGGAAUAUUGGUCAAUGGGCGAGAGCCUGAACCAGCCAAGUAGCGUGAAGGAUGACUGCCCUAUGGGUUGUAAACUUCUUUUAUAAAGGAAUAAAGUCGGGUAUGUAUACCCGUUUGCAUGUACUUUAUGAAUAAGGAUCGGCUAACUCCGUGCCAGCAGCCGCGGUAAUACGGAGGAUCCGAGCGUUAUCCGGAUUUAUUGGGUUUAAAGGGAGCGUAGAUGGAUGUUUAAGUCAGUUGUGAAAGUUUGCGGCUCAACCGUAAAAUUGCAGUUGAUACUGGAUAUCUUGAGUGCAGUUGAGGCAGGCGGAAUUCGUGGUGUAGCGGUGAAAUGCUUAGAUAUCACGAAGAACUCCGAUUGCGAAGGCAGCCUGCUAAGCUGCAACUGACAUUGAGGCUCGAAAGUGUGGGUAUCAAACAGGAUUAGAUACCCUGGUAGUCCACACGGUAAACGAUGAAUACUCGCUGUUUGCGAUAUACAGCAAGCGGCCAAGCGAAAGCGUUAAGUAUUCCACCUGGGGAGUACGCCGGCAACGGUGAAACUCAAAGGAAUUGACGGGGGCCCGCACAAGCGGAGGAACAUGUGGUUUAAUUCGAUGAUACGCGAGGAACCUUACCCGGGCUUGAAUUGCAACUGAAUGAUGUGGAGACAUGUCAGCCGCAAGGCAGUUGUGAAGGUACUGCAUGGUUGUCGUCAGCUCGUGCCGUGAGGUGUCGGCUUAAGUGCCAUAACGAGCGCAACCCUUAUCGAUAGUUACCAUCAGGUUAUGCUGGGGACUCUGUCGAGACUGCCGUCGUAAGAUGUGAGGAAGGUGGGGAUGACGUCAAAUCAGCACGGCCCUUACGUCCGGGGCUACACACGUGUUACAAUGGGGGGUACAGAAGGCAGCUACACGGCGACGUGAUGCUAAUCCCUAAAGCCUCUCUCAGUUCGGAUUGGAGUCUGCAACCCGACUCCAUGAAGCUGGAUUCGCUAGUAAUCGCGCAUCAGCCACGGCGCGGUGAAUACGUUCCC